CAUGCAAGUCGAACGGUAACAGGGGUGGUUUACCACCUGCUGACGAGUGGCGCACGGGUGAGUAACGCGUAGGUAACCUGCCAUGAGGUUCGGGAUAGCCGUACGAAAGUAUGAUUAAUACCGGAUGUGCUCUUUUGAGUAAAGAUUUAUCGCCUUAUGAUGGGCCUGCGUUAGAUUAGCUUGUUGGUAAGGUAACGGCUUACCAAGGCAACGAUCUAUAGCCGGGUUGAGAGACCGACCGGCCACAUUGGAACUGAGACACGGUCCAGACUCCUACGGGAGGCAGCAGCUAAGAAUCUUCCACAAUGGACGAAAGUCUGACGGAGCGACGCCGCGUUUGAAUGAUGAAGGCCCUUAUGGNGNNUUGUAAAAUUCCCUUUUAUAGAAAGGACGAANNNUGUAUGGCGUAGGGGCCAUGNNUUGACNNGGUGCUCUAUGAAUAAGGUCCGGCUAACUACGUGCCAGCAGCCGCGGUAAUACGUAGGGACCGAGCGUUGUUCGGAAUUAUUGGGCGUAAAGGGUACGUAGGCGGUCUAAUAAGUCAGAUGUGAAAACCUCGGGCUCAACCUGAGGCCUGCGUCUGAUACUGUUAGGCUAGAGUUAUGGAGAGGAAGGCGGAAUUCCUGGUGUAGGGGUGAAAUCUAUAGAUAUCAGGAAGAACAUCGGUAGCGAAGGCUGCCUUCUGGACAUAAACUGACGCUGAUGUACGAAAGUUAGGGUAGCAAACAGGAUUAGAGACCCUGGUAGUCCUAACUGUAAACGUUGUAUACUAGGUGGUGGCAUUUUGAUCGUGUCACUGCCGUAGCUAACGCAUUAAGUAUACCGCCUGGGGAGUAUGCCGGCAACGGUGAAACUCAAAGGAAUUGACGGGGGCCCGCACAAGCAGUGGAGCAUGUUGUUUAAUUCGAUGAUACGCGAGGAACCUUACCAGGUCUUGACAUAUACCUGAAUGUUGUAGAAAUACAUCAGCCUUCGGGCAGGUAUACAGGUGCUGCAUGGUUGUCGUCAGCUCGUGCCGUGAGGUGUUGGGUUAAGUCCCGCAACGAGCGCAACCCUUAUUCUUUGUUGCUAACAGUUCGGCUGAGCACUCUAAGGAGACUGCCGGUGACAAACCGGAGGAAGGUGGGGAUGACGUCAAAUCAUCACGGCCCUUAUGACCUGGGCUACAAACGUGCUACAAUGGGCGGCACAAAGAGUUGCGAUACCGCGAGGGUGAGCUAAUCUCAAAAAACCGUCCUCAGUUCGGAUUGGAGUCUGAAACUCGACUCCAUGAAGCUGGAAUUGCUAGUAAUCGCAUAUCAGCCAUGAUGCGGUGAUACGUUCCCGGGCCUUGUACACACCGCCCGUCACAUCACCCGAGUUGAUUAUACCCGACGUGGCCGAGCUAACCCCUUUUGGGGAGGCAGGUUCCUAAGGUAUGGUUGUAAGGGGGAUGAAG
Molecule: ribosomal RNA, 1438 nt
Filed under: uncultured organism
Description: 16S ribosomal RNA
Rfam family: Bacterial small subunit ribosomal RNA
Source: RNAcentral